UUUUGUGUUGAUUUUGCUCAAAAGCUUGUUUAACUUUUAAUGCUCCAUAAUUCGCUUAAUAAAAUAGCUAGAGGUAUUGCUAAAUAUGGAAAACAUAGUUCAAGAAGAAACCUAACCUCAACGUUCUGUGAUUUGUGGACUAAAUGUUACCUGCUUCUCGUUGCUACUUGCAAACAAGGUAGAGUUCAGUCACAAGGAGUUGC
This is a long non-coding RNA of Anastrepha obliqua, 203 nucleotides long. RefSeq lists it as uncharacterized. Lineage: Eukaryota; Metazoa; Arthropoda; Insecta; Diptera; Tephritidae. The record is from RefSeq and is a predicted model, not a curated record. The transcript has 3 exons.